UUCUUUACUCUGAGUUCGGCGGCGAGUACGACGAUCGACUGUGCUCGAUUUUCCUGUAACGGAUAGCGACUUUAGUCACAUUAAUACAGACGCCCACUAAGAGCCUUUCAAUAGAUCUCUAAUCUCUGGUAUAAAUAGGUUAGUAUUCCUUUUCUAGUUGAUCGCCCUCUCUUCAUCUCUCUACUACUUAUCUCUUUUAUUCUCAACAAUUGCAUGUGGUUCUUCAUUUCUAUGGGAUGAGAAGAAAGGUGAACUUAGGUGGAUUGAUAUGGUUUUGGUGGACUAGAAGUCCACGCUGAUUCAAGCAUCUAUUAGCGUCCACCGGUUGAACACAUUCCAACAACUGCUCAGAGAAAGAUGGACUUUUGAGCUUAGUGUAUUUGGCGUCACGCGGAGUAAUCAGUACUUCAAACUGACCACCGCACCCGUUUUAAUUAGAUUCACGGAACAAACCACCUUCGUCGAGAUAACAGAAUCUUUAUGGUCCGCAGCAAUGACGAACUGAUGUCACUUGCUAACACGAACAUCCACUUACCAGAUGUGUUGGUGGAGUCAAAACCACAUACAAUGAUGAAACACAGACAAUCCAGCUGAUAUGACCUACAUACGUCUUGAACGUACAUUAAGUUACAUAUGGUUCUUGCCAAAACGAAAACACCGUUGGUGUUCUAAGGUCAUGUGUUCUAUACACAACUUAUCAGCUAUCUGAACAGACGAUGCAAUACAUUAUUUAACCCAACAAUCCUAGACUACUUACAAACUAUUACUACUACAGGAACCGGGUGGAGUUUUCAGUCUUUGAUGGGUCAGAGUCAGCUGUCUUUGUGGCAUUUGAUGGUGAGAUGUGUAAGCUAACCAAUGCACAUCUUAUGGUGCAGGACACAGGUGUAGAGGACCACAACCGAAGAUCUCUCCCACAGUGUUUAAAGAACUUGGUUGGCAGUACUUUCACCUUCCAAGGGGUGAUAACAACCCAGGAGAUGACAUGCCCGGAGCUAGAGCAGUGGCUACUAAGCCCUCCAAAACCAUCACCAAAGUUCCCCUGCAAAAUCCGCUAGUUGGGUGCCUGUGGAGAGAUGCAGCUGCUCAAAGAGGCGUCCAUGCAACUGUUGCUGGUGAAGUAACUAAUGAGGAAGAAGGAGUGCAGGAGGAUAG
This is an RNA transcript of Brassica napus (rape), 1155 nucleotides long. RefSeq lists it as uncharacterized. The record is from RefSeq and is a predicted model, not a curated record. Lineage: Eukaryota; Viridiplantae; Streptophyta; Magnoliopsida; Brassicales; Brassicaceae. The transcript has 6 exons.